This 497-nucleotide ribosomal RNA is filed under the name uncultured bacterium. RNAcentral describes it as "partial 16S ribosomal RNA". It matches the Rfam family "Bacterial small subunit ribosomal RNA", at positions 28 to 507 of the family's 1533-position model. The record is from RNAcentral.
GAUGAACGCUGGCGGCGUGCCUAAUACAUGCAAGUCGAGCGAACAGAUGAGGAGCUUGCUCCUCUGACGUUAGCGGAGGACGGGUGAGUAACACGUGGAUAACCUACCUAUAAGACUGGGAUAACUUCGGGAAACCGGAGCUAAUACCGGAUAAUAUAUUGAACCGCAUGGGUCAAUAGUGAAAGACGGUUUUGGUGUCAGUUAUAGAUGGAUCCGCGCCGCAUUGGCUAGUUGGUAAGGUACCGGCUUACCAAGGCAACUAUGCGUAGCCGACCGGUUGGGCGGAUCGCCCACCCUGGAACGGAGCCACGGUCCAUACUCCUACGGGACGCAGCAGUAGGCAAUCGUCCGCAAUGGUCGAGAGCAUUACGGAGCAGCGCCGCGUGAGUGAUGACGGUCUUCGGAGCGUAAUACUCUGUUAUUAGUUAAGAACAACUGUGUAAGUAACUAUGCACGUCUUGACGGUACCUAAUCAGAAAGCAACGGCUAACUACGUG